AUUACGGGGUGCAGGCGCGAAAACUUUACAAUGCGAGAAAUCGUGAUAAGGGAACCCCGAGUGCCCGUAAAUUCGGGCUGUCCGCCAGUGUAAAUAACUGGUGAAGAAAGGGCCGGGCAAGACCGGUGCCAGCCGCCGCGGUAAUACCGGCGGCUCGAGUGGUGGCCACUAUUACUGGGCUUAAAGCGUCCGUAGCUGGAUUGUUAAGUCUCUUGGGAAAUCCACCGGCUCAACCGAUGGGCGUUCAGGAGAAACUGGCAAUCUAGGGACCGGGAGAGGUGAGAGGUACUCCAGGGGUAGGAGUGAAAUCCUGUAGUCCUUGGGGGACCACCUGUGGCGAAGGCGUCUCACUAGAACGGCUCCGACAGUGAGGGACGAAAGCUGGGGGAGCAAACCGGAUUAGAUACCCGGGUAGUCCCAGCUGUAAACGAUGCGCGUUAGGUGUAUCGGUGACCACGAGUCAUCGAGGUGCCGAAGGGAAACCGUGAAACGUGCCGCCUGGGAAGUACGGUCGCAAGGCUGAAACUUAAAGGAAUUGGCGGGGGAGCACAAU
RNAcentral lists this ribosomal RNA (553 nucleotides) under uncultured archaeon. Its description in RNAcentral is "bacterial SSU rRNA". It matches the Rfam family "Archaeal small subunit ribosomal RNA", at positions 322 to 882 of the family's 1478-position model. The record is from RNAcentral.